This 129-nucleotide small RNA is filed under the name Salmonella enterica. Its description in RNAcentral is "partial RtT sRNA". It matches the Rfam family "RtT RNA", at positions 35 to 130 of the family's 130-position model. From Rfam's summary of the family: This family represents a bacterial cis-regulatory element known as RtT RNA. The exact function of RtT is unknown although it is thought that it may be involved in changing the cellular response in relation to amino acid starvation. RNAcentral also lists the same sequence under 5 other names. The record is from RNAcentral. Lineage: Bacteria; Pseudomonadati; Pseudomonadota; Gammaproteobacteria; Enterobacterales; Enterobacteriaceae.
UCGCAGGUUCGAAUCCUGCACGACCCACCAAUUUAACAUCAAACUCAGAUGUUGAACGUGAAGGAUAACGUUGCGUCAGCAACGGCCCGUAGGGCGAGGCGAAGCCGAGUCAUCCUGCACGACCCACCA